GACGAACGCUGGCGGCGUGCCUAAUACGUGCAAGUAGAACGCUGAAGCUUGGUGCUUGCACCGAGCGGAUGAGUUGCGAACGGGUGAGUAACGCGUAGGUAACCUGCCUGGUAGCGGGGGAUAACUAUUGGAAACGAUAGCUAAUACCGCAUAAGAGUAGAUGUUGCAUGACAUUUGCUUAAAAGGUGCAAUUGCAUCACUACCAGAUGGACCUGCGUUGUAUUAGCUAGUUGGUGAGGUAACGGCUCACCAAGGCAACGAUACAUAGCCGACCUGAGAGGGUGAUCGGCCACACUGGGACUGAGACACGGCCCAGACUCCUACGGGAGGCAGCAGUAGGGAAUCUUCGGCAAUGGACGGAAGUCUGACCGAGCAACGCCGCGUGAGUGAAGAAGGUUUUCGGAUCGUAAAGCUCUGUUGUAAGAGAAGAACGAGCGUGAGAGUGGAAAGUUCACACUGUGACGGUAUCUUACCAGAAAGGGACGGCUAACUACGUG
Molecule: ribosomal RNA, 497 nt
Filed under: uncultured bacterium
Lineage: Bacteria
Description: partial 16S ribosomal RNA
Rfam family: Bacterial small subunit ribosomal RNA
Source: RNAcentral